RNAcentral lists this long non-coding RNA (797 nucleotides) under Prunus persica (peach). RNAcentral's name for it is "long non-coding RNA (PPER_LNC000607)". The record is from RNAcentral. Lineage: Eukaryota; Viridiplantae; Streptophyta; Magnoliopsida; Rosales; Rosaceae.
GCUGGAAGGAAAGGGGCUUGACAUCGCUAAUCUUUAUGAAGACUAGGAGGAGAGACUUUGGCAGAGAGUCGAAGUGGUCGUUGUCUAUGAGCAAUGGUUCUGGAUACACUCUCAAGGAGGUGAUAUAUGGGCCAAUGGACGCCAUCUUUCUUACGGGUUUGUUUAUUGGUGUGGCUCUGAUUAAAAUGAAGGCUUUUUAUCACAAAUGGUCCUUUACGUUUAUAAAAUUAUUAUGAAUCGUCCUUCAGGUUUUUUUGUGACACUAAUAGUCCUUUAGGUUAUCAUCCACCCAUCAAAAUAGUCCUUAUGUUAGUUUCUGUUAAAACUGAAGUUAAACUCACGUGCUCAUCCUGCUUUUUGAAAUAUAAUCUCAUCAUUCCACUCAACCUUCGACCAAACCCAACUGUUAGAACCCUUUCCCUCCAUUUCCUCAUGGUCCUUCCAUUUUGGCGCCCCUGUAGGAUAUAACCAACCAAAAAAAGUAAACUUUUGAAGAAAUUGAAACAAUCCAAGCUCAAGAGAAAGACCAACAAUGGAGAACUCCAGAGAAAGACCAAACUCAUGGAUCAAUUUGAAAAAUAGAAGUCCUGCAAAUUCAUUAUUCAUGGCACAUCAAAUACAGAGUCCUCAAAAAACCAUUGAACCACAUCAAUACUCAAAAAACCAGUGCACCACAUCGAAGACAUCAAUCUUGAGCAAGUCCUAACACAAUAUAUCAAAAUGAACUUCCCAAAUCCUAACACAAAACAUCGAAAUGAACUUCCCAUACAAUACAUCAAAAUGAACUUCCAAGUCCU